UUUGCUAUUUCUGUAGCAAUGGUACACGACUGGAGUUAUUGCUCUGAGCAAACCUGUGGGAAUCAGAAAAACAGAAACUUCCACAGGCACUGAAGGGUUUGAUCUGCAGCCUUGGAAGAAGCUUGGAUUGAGGCAGAAUGGAGCAGCUUUGCCAGGCUGUGUCCUCACAGCACCUGCAGUCAGAAAUGCUCACGCUCACCUGGGUGAAAGCCAGCACUUUCUUGACUCCUGCACUCCAAAAACUGAUAUUGUGUGUUGUCCUGUCCUGCUGUACAAGGGGGAGCCAGGGAGGAUUCUUCAUCAGACAUUUCUCAGGUAAAAA
Molecule: long non-coding RNA, 322 nt
Organism: Serinus canaria (Common canary)
Lineage: Eukaryota; Metazoa; Chordata; Aves; Passeriformes; Fringillidae
Exons: 3
Source: RefSeq, a predicted model, not a curated record